GGGGAUAUGGCGAAAUUGGUAGACGCUACGGACUUGAUUGGAUUGAGCCUUGGUAUGGAAACAUACUAAGUGAUAACUUUCAAAUUCAGAGAAACCCUGGAAUUAAAAAUGGGCAAUCCUGAGCCAAAUCCUGUUUUCAGAAAACAAACAAAUAAAGGGUUUGGAAAGCAAGAAUAAAAAAGGAUAGGUGCAGAGACUCAAUGGAAGCUAUUCUAACGAAUAGAGUUGACUGCGUUGCGUUGAUUGAGGAAUCCUUCUAUUUAAACUCCAGAAAGGAUGAACCCAUAUACGUACAUAUACAUAAUAAAAUAUCAAAGAUUAAUGGCGGUUCGAAUCUUUAUUUAUUUUUUUUAUGCAAAAUUGAAGGAUUCUUGUGAAUCGAUUCCAAGUUUAAAUAAGAAUCGAAUAUUCACUGAUCAAAUCAGUCACUCCAUAGUCUGAUAGAUCUUUUAAAGAACUAACUAAUUCGACGAGAAUAAAGAUAGAGUCCCAUUAUACAUGUCAAUAUCAAUACCGACAAAAAUGCAAUUUAUAGUAAGAGGAAAAUCCGUCGACUUUUUAAAUCGUGAGGGUUCAAGUCCCUCUAUCCCCA
This 592-nucleotide non-coding RNA is filed under the name Actaea purpurea. Its description in RNAcentral is "tRNA-Leu". The stretch from base 26 to 511 matches the Rfam family "Group I catalytic intron". From Rfam's summary of the family: Group I catalytic introns are large self-splicing ribozymes. They catalyse their own excision from mRNA, tRNA and rRNA precursors in a wide range of organisms. The core secondary structure consists of 9 paired regions (P1-P9). Lineage: Eukaryota; Viridiplantae; Streptophyta; Magnoliopsida; Ranunculales; Ranunculaceae. The record is from RNAcentral.